Molecule: ribosomal RNA, 501 nt
Filed under: uncultured Glomus
Lineage: Eukaryota; Fungi; Glomeromycota; Glomeromycetes; Glomerales; Glomeraceae
Description: SSU rRNA
Rfam family: Eukaryotic small subunit ribosomal RNA
Source: RNAcentral
AGCAGCCGCGGUAAUUCCAGCUCCAAUAGCGUAUAUUAAAGUUGUUGCAGUUAAAAAGCUCGUAGUUGAAUUUCGAGAUCAAUUUGUUGGUCGUGCCUCGGUACGUACUGGCAAUUUUGAUUUCUCCCUUCUGAAGAACCAUGAUGUCAUUAAUUUGGUGUCAUGGGGAAUCAGGACCGUUACUUUGAAAAAUUAGAGUGUUUAAAGCAGGCUCGCGCUUGAAUACAUUAGCAUGGAAUAGUGAAACAGGACGUUUGAUUCUAUUUUGUUGGUUUCUAGGAUCGACGUAAUGAUUAAUAGGGAUAGUUGGGGGCAUUAGUAUUCAAUUGUCAGAGGUGAAAUUCUUGGAUUUAUUGGAGACUAACUACUGCGAAAGCAUUUGCCAAGGAUGUUUUCAUUAAUCAAGAACGAAAGUUAGGGGAUCGAAGACGAUCAGAUACCGUCGUAGUCUUAACCAUAAACUAUGCCGACUAGGGAUCGGAUGAUGUUAAUUUUUAAUGA